GGUUAAGCGACUAAGCGUACACGGUGGAUGCCCUGGCAGUCAGAGGCGAUGAAGGACGUGCUAAUCUGCGAUAAGCGUCGGUAAGGUGAUAUGAACCGUUAUAACCGGCGAUUUCCGAAUGGGGAAACCCAGUGUGAUUCGUCACACUAUCAUUAACUGAAUCCAUAGGUUAAUGAGGCGAACCGGGGGAACUGAAACAUCUAAGUACCCCGAGGAAAAGAAAUCAACCGAGAUUCCCCCAGUAGCGGCGAGCGAACGGGGAGCAGCCCAGAGCCUGAAUCAGUGUGUGUGUUAGUGGAAGCGUCUGGAAAGGCGCGCGAUACAGGGUGACAGCCCCGUACACAAAAAUGCACAUGCUGUGAGCUCGAUGAGUAGGGCGGGACACGUGGUAUCCUGUCUGAAUAUGGGGGGACCAUCCUCCAAGGCUAAAUACUCCUGACUGACCGAUAGUGAACCAGUACCGUGAGGGAAAGGCGAAAAGAACCCCGGCGAGGGGAGUGAAAAAGAACCUGAAACCGUGUACGUACAAGCAGUGGGAGCACGCUUAGGCGUGUGACUGCGUACCUUUUGUAUAAUGGGUCAGCGACUUAUAUUCUGUAGCAAGGUUAACCGAAUAGGGGAGCCGAAGGGAAACCGAGUCUUAACUGGGCGUUAAGUUGCAGGGUAUAGACCCGAAACCCGGUGAUCUAGCCAUGGGCAGGUUGAAGGUUGGGUAACACUAACUGGAGGACCGAACCGACUAAUGUUGAAAAAUUAGCGGAUGACUUGUGGCUGGGGGUGAAAGGCCAAUCAAACCGGGAGAUAGCUGGUUCUCCCCGAAAGCUAUUUAGGUAGCGCCUCGUGAAUUCAUCUCCGGGGGUAGAGCACUGUUUCGGCAAGGGGGUCAUCCCGACUUACCAACCCGAUGCAAACUGCGAAUACCGGAGAAUGUUAUCACGGGAGACACACGGCGGGUGCUAACGUCCGUCGUGAAGAGGGAAACAACCCAGACCGCCAGCUAAGGUCCCAAAGUCAUGGUUAAGUGGGAAACGAUGUGGGAAGGCCCAGACAGCCAGGAUGUUGGCUUAGAAGCAGCCAUCAUUUAAAGAAAGCGUAAUAGCUCACUGGUCGAGUCGGCCUGCGCGGAAGAUGUAACGGGGCUAAACCAUGCACCGAAGCUGCGGCAGCGACGCUGAUGCGUUGUUGGGUAGGGGAGCGUUCUGUAAGCCUGCGAAGGUGUGCUGUGAGGCAUGCUGGAGGUAUCAGAAGUGCGAAUGCUGACAUAAGUAACGAUAAAGCGGGUGAAAAGCCCGCUCGCCGGAAGACCAAGGGUUCCUGUCCAACGUUAAUCGGGGCAGGGUGAGUCGACCCCUAAGGCGAGGCCGAAAGGCGUAGUCGAUGGGAAACAGGUUAAUAUUCCUGUACUUGGUGUUACUGCGAAGGGGGGACGGAGAAGGCUAUGUUGGCCGGGCGACGGUUGUCCCGGUUUAAGCGUGUAGGCUGGUUUUCCAGGCAAAUCCGGAAAAUCAAGGCUGAGGCGUGAUGACGAGGCACUACGGUGCUGAAGCAACAAAUGCCCUGCUUCCAGGAAAAGCCUCUAAGCAUCAGGUAACAUCAAAUCGUACCCCAAACCGACACAGGUGGUCAGGUAGAGAAUACCAAGGCGCUUGAGAGAACUCGGGUGAAGGAACUAGGCAAAAUGGUGCCGUAACUUCGGGAGAAGGCACGCUGAUACGUNNNNNNNNNNNNNNNNNNNNNNNNNNNNNNNNNNNNNNNNNNNNNNNNNNNNNNNNNNNNNNNNNNNNNNNNNNNNNNNNNNNNNNNNNNNNNNNGAUGGAGCUGAAAUCAGUCGAAGAUACCAGCUGGCUGCAACUGUUUAUUAAAAACACAGCACUGUGCAAACACGAAAGUGGACGUAUACGGUGUGACGCCUGCCCGGUGCCGGAAGGUUAAUUGAUGGGGUCAGCGCAAGCGAAGCUCUUGAUCGAAGCCCCGGUAAACGGCGGCCGUAACUAUAACGGUCCUAAGGUAGCGAAAUUCCUUGUCGGGUAAGUUCCGACCUGCACGAAUGGCGUAAUGAUGGCCAGGCUGUCUCCACCCGAGACUCAGUGAAAUUGAACUCGCUGUGAAGAUGCAGUGUACCCGCGGCAAGACGGAAAGACCCCGUGAACCUUUACUAUAGCUUGACACUGAACAUUGAGCCUUGAUGUGUAGGAUAGGUGGGAGGCUUUGAAGUGUGGACGCCAGUCUGCAUGGAGCCGACCUUGAAAUACCACCCUUUAAUGUUUGAUGUUCUAACGUUGACCCGUAAUCCGGGUUGCGGACAGUGUCUGGUGGGUAGUUUGACUGGGGCGGUCUCCUCCUAAAGAGUAACGGAGGAGCACGAAGGUUGGCUAAUCCUGGUCGGACAUCAGGAGGUUAGUGCAAUGGCAUAAGCCAGCUUGACUGCGAGCGUGACGGCGCGAGCAGGUGCGAAAGCAGGUCAUAGUGAUCCGGUGGUUCUGAAUGGAAGGGCCAUCGCUCAACGGAUAAAAGGUACUCCGGGGAUAACAGGCUGAUACCGCCCAAGAGUUCAUAUCGACGGCGGUGUUUGGCACCUCGAUGUCGGCUCAUCACAUCCUGGGGCUGAAGUAGGUCCCAAGGGUAUGGCUGUUCGCCAUUUAAAGUGGUACGCGAGCUGGGUUUAGAACGUCGUGAGACAGUUCGGUCCCUAUCUGCCGUGGGCGCUGGAGAACUGAGGGGGGCUGCUCCUAGUACGAGAGGACCGGAGUGGACGCAUCACUGGUGUUCGGGUUGUCAUGCCAAUGGCACUGCCCGGUAGCUAAAUGCGGAAGAGAUAAGUGCUGAAAGCAUCUAAGCACGAAACUUGCCCCGAGAUGAGUUCUCCCUGACUCCUUGAGAGUCCUGAAGGAACGUUGAAGACGACGACGUUGAUAGGCCGGGUGUGUAAGCGCAGCGAUGCGUUGAGCUAACCGGUACUAAUGAACCGUGAGGCUUAACCUU
This 2982-nucleotide ribosomal RNA is filed under the name Escherichia coli. RNAcentral's name for it is "23S ribosomal RNA". It matches the Rfam family "Bacterial large subunit ribosomal RNA". The record is from RNAcentral. Lineage: Bacteria; Pseudomonadati; Pseudomonadota; Gammaproteobacteria; Enterobacterales; Enterobacteriaceae.